Molecule: long non-coding RNA, 412 nt
Filed under: Ananas comosus (pineapple)
Lineage: Eukaryota; Viridiplantae; Streptophyta; Magnoliopsida; Poales; Bromeliaceae
Description: long non-coding RNA (ACOM_LNC019565)
Source: RNAcentral
UUUAAAAUACCAUCAAGCUCUCAUAACUAUUAAAAAUAUUCUCUAAUAUCCCUACUAAUAAAAAGCCAUACAAACUUAAUCGAUUAGCUCUACAAUUUUAUUUGAACAUCCUAAAAAAAUAGUUGAGGGUAAAAUCAUUAUUCUAUUUAGCAUUUAUCUUAGAGUUAUAAUAUUUUCCACCUACCGACUGUUCCUAGAGCAAGUGGCAAAGGGCUUGGUGGUCGGUACCCGAGACCCAAAUUCGAAUCCUAGUUGAUUGACAUUUCCAGCUAAGUUUAUUUCUAAAUGAAAUAAACGAAAUUUUUAAAUGAAAUAAACGAAGCAGGUAGCGUGCUAUCUAUCUCUCAAAAAAAAAUAUUUUCCACCUAAAAUUUAAAGAUUUAUUGAAAAAUUUUGUAUUAAAAAAUACAUC